This is an RNA transcript of Pezoporus flaviventris, 1135 nucleotides long. It is a transcript of the gene named sideroflexin 1, with no coding region annotated. The record is from RefSeq and is a predicted model, not a curated record. The transcript has 12 exons. NCBI's taxonomy places the organism in Eukaryota, Metazoa, Chordata, Aves, Psittaciformes, Psittacidae.
CGCUGGUUGUUUCCGGCAAGUUCUUGAAUAUGUCAGGAAAUAUACCAUUAAAUAUUAAUAUCAAGGAGCCCCGAUGGGAUCAAAGCACUUUUGCUGGACGAGCCAAUCACUUCUUUACUGUAACAGACCCCCGGAAUAUUUUGUUAUCUAAUGCUCAGCUGGAAAAUGCAAGAAAAAUUGUGCAUGAUUACAGACAAGGUAUUGUGUCACCUGGCUUGACAGAAGAUGACUUGUGGAGAGCAAAAUAUAUCUAUGAUUCAGCCUUUCACCCAGACACUGGUGAAAAGAUGAUCUUGAUUGGCCGAAUGUCAGCUCAGGUACCCAUGAACAUGACUAUCACAGGUUGUAUGAUGACCUUUUAUAGAACGACACCAGCGGUGCUUUUCUGGCAGUGGAUUAACCAGUCCUUCAAUGCUGUAGUAAAUUACACAAACAGGAGCGGUGAUGCCCCGAUUACUGUCAGCCAGCUGGGAACAGCCUAUGUUUCUGCUACCACAGGUGCUGUUGCAACAGCCUUAGGACUUAAUGCACUAACAAAGCAUGUCUCACCUCUUAUAGGACGGUUUGUUCCAUUUGCUGCUGUUGCUGCUGCUAACUGCAUUAAUAUUCCACUAAUGAGGCAAAGAGAAAUCAAGUGUGGAAUCCCUGUCAUGGAUGAGAAUGGAAACAGACUGGGUGACUCAUCAAAAGCAGCUCAGCAGGCAAUUGCCCAGGUGGUUAUAUCAAGGAUUCUUAUGGCUGCUCCUGGCAUGGCAAUUCCUCCUUUCAUAAUGAAUACAUUGGAAAAGAAAGCCUUUUUAAAGAUCAGCAAAAAUGAGCGAUUUCUUCAGUGACUACUCAGUGGUCUUUGGUACCGUCAUGACCGUUUAUGCUCACCUGUUCCACCCCCUCAGCCUCAAAGACUGUGAGUUCAGAGGUAUCCUUGGAUGAGUGCUCCCAUUCAAGUUGGAUUAGUUGGAUUCUGUCUUGUGUUUGCCACACCCCUGUGUUGUGCACUGUUUCCUCAAAAAAGUUCUAUGUCUGUAACACGCUUGGAGCCAGAAUUGGAAGCCAAGAUCCGAAAGAACAGCCCUGAAGUAGAACGUGUAUACUUUAAUAAAGGAUUAUAAUUCAAGGAAGGGAAAGUAUCUUUCAA